Molecule: ribosomal RNA, 468 nt
Filed under: uncultured bacterium
Lineage: Bacteria
Description: partial 16S ribosomal RNA
Rfam family: Bacterial small subunit ribosomal RNA
Source: RNAcentral
GACGAACGCUGGCGGCGUGCUUAACACAUGCAAGUCGAACGGAAAGGCCCUGCUUUUGUGGGGUGCUCGAGUGGCGAACGGGUGAGUAACACGCGAGUAACCUGCCCUUGACUUUGGGAUAACUUCAGGAAACUGGGGCUAAUACCGGAUAGGAGCUCCUGCUGCAUGGUGGGGGUUGGAAAGUUUCGGCGGUUGGGGAUGGACUCGCGGCUUAUCAGCUUGUUGGUGGGGUAGUGGCUUACCAAGGCUUUGACGGGUAGCCGGCCUGAGAGGGUGACCGGCCACAUUGGGACUGAGAUACGGCCCAGACUCCUACGGGAGGCAGCAGUGGGGAAUAUUGCACAAUGGGCGGAAGCCUGAUGCAGCAACGCCGCGUGCGGGAUGACGGCCUUCGGGUUGUGAACCGCUUUCGCCUGUGACGAAGCGUGAGUGACGGUAAUGGGUAAAGAAGCACCGGCUAACUACGUG